CGGACGGGUGAGUAACACGUGGGUAACCUGCCCUGUACAGGGGGAUAACAGUUAGAAAUGACUGUUAAUACCGCAUAAGCGCACAGUACUGCAUGGUACAGUGUGAAAAGCUCCGACGGUACAGGAUGGGCCCGCGUCUGAUUAGCCAGUUGGCGGGGUAACGGCCCACCAAAGCGACGAUCAGUAGCCGGACUGAGAGGUUGGACGGCCACAUUGGGACUGAGAUACGGCCCAGACUCCUACGGGAGGCAGCAGUGGGGAAUAUUGCACAAUGGGGGAAACCCUUGAUGCAGCGACGCCGCGUGAGUGAAGAAGUAUUUCGGUAUGUAAAGCUCUAUCAGCAGGGAAGAAGUCAGACGGUACCUGAGUAAGAAGCCCCGGCUAACUACGUGCCAGCAGCCGCGGUAAUACGUAGGGGGCAAGCGUUAUCCGGAUUUACUGGGUGUAAAGGGAGCGUAGACGGCAAGGCAAGUCUGGAGUGAAAGCCCGCUGCUCAACGGCGGGACUGCUUUGGAAACUGUUUGGCUGGAGUGCCGGAGAGGUAAGCGGAAUUCCUGGUGUAGCGGUGAAAUGCGUAGAUAUCAGGAAGAACACCAGUGGCGAAGGCGGCUUACUGGACGGUAACUGACGUUGAGGCUCGAAAGCGUGGGGAGCAAACAGGAUUAGAUACCCUGGUAGUCCACGCGGUAAACGAUGAUUGCUAGGUGUAGGUGGGUAUGGACCCAUCGGUGCCGCAGCCAACGCAGUAAGCAAUCCACCUGGGGAGUACGUUCGCAAGAAUGAAACUCAAAGGAAUUGACGGGGGCCCGCACAAGCAGUGGAGUAUGUGGUUUAAUUCGGAGCAACGCGAAGGACCUUACCAGGGCUUGACAUAAACAGGAAUAACUAAGAGAUUAGUUAGCUCUUCGGAGCUUGUUUACAGGUGGUGCAUGGUUGUCGUCAGCUCGUGUCGUGAGAUGUUGGGUUAAGUCCCGCAACGAGCGCAACCCCUAUUUUCAGUAGCCAGCGGAUAAAGCCGGGCACUCUGGGAAGACUGCCGGGGAUAACCCGGAGGAAGGUGGGGAUGACGUCAAAUCAUCAUGCCCCUUAUGAUCUGGGCGACACACGUGCUACAAUGGCGUAAACAGAGGGAAGCGAGGCCGAGAGGCGGAGCGAAUCCGAGAAAUAACGUCCAGUUCGGAUUGUAGUCUGCAACCCGACUACAUGAAGCUGGAAUCGCUAGUAAUCGCGGAUCAGAAUGCCGCGGUGAAUACGUUCCCGGGUCUUGUACACACCGCCCGUCACACCAUGGGAGUCAGAAAUGCCCGAAGUCUGUGACCGAACCGAGAGGGAGGAGCAGCCGAAGGCAGGUCUGGUGACUGGGGUGAAGUCGUAACAAGGUAG
This 1383-nucleotide ribosomal RNA is filed under the name uncultured bacterium. RNAcentral describes it as "16S ribosomal RNA". It matches the Rfam family "Bacterial small subunit ribosomal RNA". The record is from RNAcentral.